RNAcentral lists this long non-coding RNA (2182 nucleotides) under Homo sapiens (human). RNAcentral's name for it is "non-protein coding lnc-RAB19-1:1". Lineage: Eukaryota; Metazoa; Chordata; Mammalia; Primates; Hominidae. The record is from RNAcentral.
GAGAUGGAGUCUCGCUCUGUCGCUCAGGCUGGAGUGCAGUGGCGCAAUCUCGGCUCACUGCAAGCUCUGCCUCCCAGGUUCACAUCAUUCUCCUGCCUCAGCCUCCCGAGCAGCUGGGACUACAGGCGCCUGCCACCUCACCCGGCCAAUUUUUUGUAUUUUUAGUAGAGAUGGGUUUUCACCACAUUAGCCAGGAUGGUCUCAAUCUCCUGACCUUGUGAUCCGUCCACCUCGGCCUCCCAAAGUGCUGGGAUUACAGGCGUACUGCGCCCGGCCCAUUUUAACCAUUUUUAAGUGUACAAUCCAGUGGUAUCAGUUACAUUCAUAAUGCUGUACAACCAACACUACCAUCUAUUUCCAAACUUUUUCAUCAUCCAAAUAGAAACUCUGUUCCUAUUAAGAAAUUAACUGCCCAUCUCCCCAGCCCUUGCUAACCUCUUCUUUCUGGUUCCAUGAACUGGCCUAUGCUAGAUAUUUCGUGUAAAUGGAAUCACAGUAUUUGUCCUUUUAUGUCUGGCUUGUUUAACUUAGCAUAAUGCUUUCAAGGUAAACUACAUUGGAACUUCACUCCUUUUUUUUUGGAGAUGGAGUCUCGCUCUGUCACCUAGGCUGGAGUGCAGUGGGGCAAUCUCUGCUUACUGCAACCUCUGUCUCCCAGGUUCCAGUGAUUCUCCUGCCUCAGCCUCCAGAGUAGCUGGGAUUACAGGUGUGAGCCACCAUGCUCGGCUAAUUUUUCUAUUUUUAGUAGAAAUGAGGUUUCACCACAUUGCCCAGGCUGGUCUGGAACUCCUGACCUCAGGUGAUUCACUCACUUCAGCCUCCCAAAGUGCUGGGAUUACAAGCGUGAGCCACUGCGCCCGGACUUUCUUUCUUUUUAAAUGGAGUCUUGCUCUGUCACCCAGGCUGGAGUACAGUGGUGCGAUCUUGGCUCACUGCAACCUCCUCCUCCCAGGUUCAAGCGAUUAUCUUGCCUCAGCCUCCCAAGUAGCUGGGAUUAAAAGAGACAGGGUCUUUCUCUGUUGCCCAGACUGUAGUGUAAUGGUAUGAUCACAGCUCACUGUAACUUCCCUUCAUUUCUUUUUAAUGGCUCAUUAGUAUUCCCUGGUAUGGAUAUACCACAUUUAGUUUCUCCAUUCAUUUGCUGAUGGACCCAAGUUGUUUCCACCUUUUGGCUACUAUGAAUAAUACUGCAAUAAAUGUUGACAUACAAAUAUCUGAGUCCCAGUUUUGUUUUUUUUUUUUUUUUGAGAGAGUCUUCCUCUGUCACCCAGGCUGGAGUGCAGUGGUGUGAUCUUGGCUCACUGCAACCUCCGCCUCCCAGGUUCAAGCGAUUAUCCUGCCUCAGCCUCCUGAGUAGCUGGGAUUACAGGCACCUGCCACCACAUCCAGCUAAUUUUCGUAUUUUUAGUAGAGACAGGGUUUCACCAUGUUGGCCAGGCUGGUCUCGAACUCCUGACCUCAAGUGAUCUGCCCACCUCGGUCUCCCAAAGUGCUGGGAUAACAGGCAUGAGCCACCGCGCCCGGCCCCCAGUUUUCAAUCUUUCGGGAAAUACCUAGGAGUGCUGGGUCAUAUGGUAAUUCUAUUUAAAUUUUUUGGAAGAAGCACCAAAGUAUUUUUCACAGAAGCUGCAUCAUUUUGCAUUCCCACCAGCAAUGCAGGGCUCCAAUUUCUGCACAUCCUUGCCAGCACCAGUCACCUUUCCUGUUUGUUUUUUUUUUUGAGAUGGAGUCUCACUCUGUCACCCAGGCUGGAGUGCAGUGGCACAAUCUCAGCUCACUGCAAGCUCCACCUCCCGGGUUCACGCCAUUCUCCUGCCUCAGCCUCCCAAGUAGCUGGGACCACAGGCACCCGCCACAACGCCCAGCCAAUUUUUCUUGUAUUUUUAGUAGAGACGGGGUUUCACCGUGUUAGCCAGGAGGGUCUCCAUCUCCUGACCUCGUGAUCCGCCCGCCUCGGCCUCCCAGAGUGCUGGGAUUACAGGCUUAAGCCACCGCGCCCGGCCCUUUCCUGUUUUUUAAUUACAGCCAUCGUAGUAAGCAUGAAGUCACAGCUCACUGUGUUUUUGAUUUGCAUUUUCCCAAUGACUAAGGAUGCUGAGACUCUUCAUGUGCUUAUUGGUCAUUUGUACAUAUUUGUCAUGAAGAUUUGUCCCUGUUUUCUUCUAUGAGUUUCAUAAUUUUA